CCCUAAGGUCGGUCCACACUUUGGCCGCCUCUCUCUCCUAUCCGGAUGUGGUCUUGGACUUGGGCCUGGACGCAUCCUACUCGAUCGGUUACUCCUUGGUAUGGUUAGUAGCAAAUCCACGUUCUUUAUAACAAGGUUUUUUUUAUUCGAGUUUUGUUAUAUAAAAAAAAAAAAAAAAACUUAUGUUCUUUAUUUACAGGGGAGGAAAAAGAUUUAACGAGCUGCUAACUACUUGACGUUUCAAACAUAACCUCUGACUGUAGCUAAUGAUUUUACAUCAAAAGUAGCAAAGUGUUUGUUUACAAGUCCAGACCUGUCACCACCGAGUACACCACAAAAGCAAGUCUCUUCUCAGAGUGACAACUUUCCAUUUUCUUGGAGGUGCCAUGCUUGCCUGCCACAAACCCUCAAACUAUAUCACAUAGAGAGACCACUUCAGGGUAUAAUUAUUUUCUUCUCUUUGUCUUACUGACAAUUAAAAUUUUCUGCUGCCAUUUUACUUAUCAGAUCCAAUUCAACACAGGUCAUCUCUUGAAUCAAUGGAACGGGAGUCUUGUGCCCUGACCAGUUCGUCUCAGAGUUACAGAAAUAAUUCAAGGAAAUGACAUCGACAGGCAAGAAUCCUACUCCCAUGACCUCCGUGUAAGUCCAGAAACAAAAUGCUUACGAAUCUUUAAGUCCUGGUAAUUGCUCUUUCUCACUAUCAUUUGAACCAUGUUUUUUUCGUUUUGAAUUUUUUUUGUCAUUUCUUUUAAAUAGAAAUUAAAAGUUUUUCAAAACUAGUAACUUUUCAAGGUUUUGAGGAAUUUUUUUAAUAUAACUAGAUUGAUGAUAUGUGAAUGUUUGAAAACAAAUAGAAUAUAAUGUCAUGUCAUUAAGAUCCUUAGAGAUAAUAUGUUUAUUUGCUUUAUCACUUGUGAUCACUAAAUUUCUUUUUGUGUUAAACACUUAUAUGAUCACUAAGUUUUCCUAAUCAAUAUGAAUAUUACAAUUUUUUUGUUUUUUUUUGUUUUUGUUUGUCAAAGAUUGCAUUGUUUUUUCUCAUUUUUUUUUUGUUUUUCAAAUUUUAAAUAAAAUUUUAUAUAACUACGAGUUAUAAUGAAAAUUAUAUGUAAAUUUGUGACAACCAAUAUUACAUUUUAUCAUGUCAUUGUGAUCGUUAAAUAGCCAAAGACACCCAAAUCUCAACAUAGUACAACGUUGUACAAUGCCACAUAACGAAGUGAAAUAGAUAAAUAAAACUCUUCCGUGCUUAGUAAAUCAGCACGAUGGUCCACAUGAAGGAUGAGGAGAAAUAAGAUCAGGAAGACUGGGAUGGAUAUGGACGUUUAAGACAUAUUGAAAGGUCUAGUACAAUAAUAGAGGCAUGUGUCGAAGCAAAGUUUAAAUUUGUGAUACCUUGGAACGCAUUUACUCCUCAUACAAUGUUUAAUAACAAUAAUACUUU
Long non-coding RNA from Brassica rapa (field mustard), 1447 nucleotides. RefSeq lists it as uncharacterized. The record is from RefSeq and is a predicted model, not a curated record. NCBI's taxonomy places the organism in Eukaryota, Viridiplantae, Streptophyta, Magnoliopsida, Brassicales, Brassicaceae.